AUGGUGCCCUUGGAGCAGCGUCAGCGUGCCCGGCGCUUGCUCUGGUCGCCGUGGAUUCUCCGACGAACUCCUAGCCCUUUCCUGGGUGUGAUGGUGGUCAGACCACAGCCAUGGUGUGGCUUUGUUUAUACUACGGCUCCAUCCCCUCUUGGGUCAUGUGAUGCUAGAAGAAUGAGCAUACGCAUUACAACAGGAGGCACUGACGGCCCAUGCAGACGGGCGUGGGGAAUGGAGACGGCAAAAUUGUACUCCCUCCAGUGUUGUUUCAUAAACGCUCUUAUAUUAUGGGACGGAGGGUUUCAUAAACGCUCUUAUAUUAUGGGACGGAGGGAGUACGUCUAA
Molecule: ribosomal RNA, 342 nt
Filed under: Triticum aestivum (bread wheat)
Lineage: Eukaryota; Viridiplantae; Streptophyta; Magnoliopsida; Poales; Poaceae
Description: partial small subunit ribosomal RNA
Source: RNAcentral